Molecule: long non-coding RNA, 1181 nt
Organism: Leopardus geoffroyi (Geoffroy's cat)
Lineage: Eukaryota; Metazoa; Chordata; Mammalia; Carnivora; Felidae
Exons: 3
Source: RefSeq, a predicted model, not a curated record
UCUCUGCCCCUCCCCUGCUCAUACACACACUUUUUCUCAAAAUAAAUAAAUAAUUAAAAAAAAAGUAAUGCUAACUGGUAUGGAAUUUGAAUAUAUGAAUCAAGAACUUAGGAAACUGGUUUGGCUAGAGCUAAAGGUUUGAGAAUUUUCAAGAUGGAAGUGGUAAUUGAAGUCCUGGGUGUCGAGGCGUUUGCCUAAGGAGAGUAUGGAGCGAACAGAGAGGAGAGCUGAGGAGAGCACCCGAGGGGAUACCAGCAGUUAAUGGAGAGCAGGGGAGGUGAGACCAGAGGAAGGGCUGAAACGUGGGAAGAAAUCCAAGAUGGAUGGGUGUCCAGCAAAUCUGGCCCCUUCCCUCUAGGGGGAGCCUGGCUGGCAACCCUUAAUGCGUGCCCCGUGUGUACGCAGCUAAUAUGGAACUUUCCCUCUGUUUUGCAAGGUGCUGUUUUUAUGAAGCCCUCCUACGUGGGACCAGAAGGAAGCUCCUUGAGGUGUGGGGUCAAUUGUUAAUCGUUUUCAUUGUCCCAGGGCCUACAACAGUGACCGGGCAUGUAGCGAGAGGGUGAUAAAUAUUUGCAGGCAGGUCUGAAUGGAACGGUUGUUGGCAAGGAAGCCGUGGGAAGGGAGGGUUUCAGGAAGGAGGAGUGGUCUGCGGUGGCAAAUAUUGAGAACAAUCAAGUAAGAUAAGGCCUGUAAAGGGCCAGUGCCAUUUGGCUCAGUGUAUCUGGUAAUUAGGGCAUUGGCGACCUUGGGGAGAAGUGUUUUUGUGGGGAAAUAGGGACAGAAAACAUCCGCCGUGGGACAGGUUGAGCUGCAUGGCAGUAUGGCAUCCUGGCCGGUCUCCUGGGAAGGUGCUCAGCUGGGGCCGGCUGCCUGUCCUUCUGCUCACUCAGUGCUUCCUGAAACCAUCUGAACCUCAAAGGGCACCAGGCAGCGAGAGCCGGUGUCCCAUUGGUUGCCGACAUGGCUUCUAAAAACAGAAGAAACGGUGGCCUUCUCACGGCAGGCUGGCCUUGGUGUGUGAGAAGCCCAGGCGGGGACAAGGGCAGGAGUUAGGCAUGUUUUGCAGCACCAGAUAAUGAAUGAAGCCAGGGCAGGACUCCUUCCAGGCCCCAUAACGCAGAGAAGGAGGGAAGACCGGAUACUCACCCAUAUCAGCCUGCCGGACAUUUUUCAUCCGGAUG